GAGGAAGAGGAAGGUGGUAGGAAAUUCUAGGGACAUGCUGCUAGAGGCUUGAGGAAAGAGCUGGCAUGUGUGUUCUGUAGCUAGUGCAGAGGUGGCAGGUAAAGAGGAGAAAAAGCCCAAAGGAUUAACAAUUUAGGGGGAAGUUAGCCUCCAGAGGAGCAAGUUGUGGCAGGCAAGUGUCUGUAGAGCCUGAGUAGCAGUGAACUGCCUGAAAAGGGUUACUUGAAAAUUUAGAGACUGAGCCUGAGUGGGGCAGAGUCUCCUGGCUGGGGCAGAGAGAAGAUAGGCUACCUCCAGUAUGAGCACAGGCGCUACCAGUGAGACAGCCUAUGGGGAAGUCUGCUUAUGAAGAAGAGGACUGAAGCUGAGGAUUUUGUCCUUUUUGACCCCAGAAGGAGUUGAAUAUUUUAAAGUAGCUUGGCUGAAGAUUGUUGUGGGGAAACUGACAAGAGCAUUGUCAUGCUGGGUCUUGCUGCAAAGGAGUAUGCCAAGAGGGUGUCUUGUAAUACUUUGUCUCAGUGGAGGAAAUCUUUUUGUAACCAGCUAGUUUGGGAGCAGCUCUAUGAAGUUGCACCAAGCUUGGUGGUUUGUUUGUGGGGGGGGUUGUGGGUGGUUUUUUUUGUUUGUUUGUUUUUUGGUAGCUAAUCAUAAAAUACUUGUAUGAACGGGACCCAUUUACUUUAUCAUAGAUCUACUCAAUCUGUUGCCAAAGGUUGUUUCAGUGGUCAGUGAACUAAGUAUCAGAAGUAUCCAAAGGGGUUAAAUUCAUUUCAGCUAUGAAGUCCAAGCAAUCACAGAUUCAUGGUCCUUCCUCAUUAUCCUAUUCCUCACCAAACUAUUAGGCCACUAUGAAGACCCCACCUGCAGCCCUGCUGACUGAAGCUGCAUUUCUGAAAUGCUACUCUUUAGCACUGGUGGCAGCCCUUGUAUGGGAAGCCUAAAUGUUGUGGAGAGUUUUGCAUUUGACUUUCUCAACAGACUGAAUUGUGCCUUUGCUCAUAAGGUGUUCCUCAGAAGCAAACCACUCUGCUAGAAAACCUAGCCAAUGGAUAAUACAUAGUAACAAACAUUAUUUGCCAAAGUACACACAGCUGCUGCCUCUACAUCAAUCUAAGCCCCAUCAAUAAACCAUAGAGAUUCAACCACUCAAAAUUGGCCUGAAGUGAGUUUUCUCUAUAUAUCAUC
This is a long non-coding RNA of Mauremys reevesii (Reeves's turtle), 1185 nucleotides long. RefSeq lists it as uncharacterized. Lineage: Eukaryota; Metazoa; Chordata; Testudines; Geoemydidae. The record is from RefSeq and is a predicted model, not a curated record. The transcript is spliced from 2 exons.